Canis lupus familiaris (dog) is the source of this 1537-nucleotide long non-coding RNA. RefSeq lists it as uncharacterized. The record is from RefSeq and is a predicted model, not a curated record. NCBI's taxonomy places the organism in Eukaryota, Metazoa, Chordata, Mammalia, Carnivora, Canidae. The transcript is spliced from 3 exons.
CAGGCGCAGGCGGGCUCUGGCGGCCGCUGUCAGCGCGGGGCCGCCGGCGGCUCGGCUUCUCCUCCUCCGGCAACGUAAAGCUUUGCCAGUCAGGUAGCCUUUAUGUCGCAGUGAGCUCUCAGCUUCAGGGUCCCCCGUUUUAAAAGUCACACAAAAGGGAAAUGAAGAAGUGGCCUGAGUCAGCACAGAUCAUGGAGCAGGAAACUGAGCACCUGCUGCCCAUUUUCCUAAAAUGGAAAGGAAGAGAGGUUGAUUAACCUGAACAGGACGCUUCCAAAUUUUUUGGUCUGAGCAACUGGAAGGAUAGAGUUGCCAUGAACUGAAGUGGAAAAUAGUGCACGACCUCAAAGGAUACCAUCCAUAUCGAUAGUUUAUGUGAAGGGAGCAAGAAUUCGUGUUCCCUUUAAGGUUCAUCUAGCUAGAGUGAGAAUCAAAUUGAGAUGAGGAGACAUCUCAGGGUUGUGAGAUGGAACCUCCUGUUGGGCUCCGCAGUGGGCAUAGAGCCUGUUUAAGAUUCUCUCCCUCCCUCUACCCCUCCCUGACUCUAAAAAACAAACAAAUUGACAUGUGACAUAUUAAUAGGAAAGAAUUAAAUUUAGUAGCAUACGUAGAAGGAAUCCAUACAGACAUGGAAAUUCCAAAGACAGGCAAAAUGAAAGAUACAAAUAUUGUUAUGAAAUAAGGAGAAGAUGUUAAGAGUCUUAGUCUUCAAAGGGAAGGAAUGCAUUUUCAGGAAGAAUGAAAAAGAGUAAAUAUUUGGUAAACGAGUGUUUCCUGGGCUACUGAGAAACAAUACAACGAAGAGAGGACUUUAAUCAAACAGGCCGCACUUAGUUCGUAUUGUAAUGUAGUUACUUCUAUCUCAAUCCUUUUAGGCAGCUGUGGGUUAGCUAAAGAGCUUUUUCUGAACCAGCUGUGUUUGGAAUACUUUUUAACUCAAAAUAACCUUAAUGCCUAAAGUGGCCCAUUUUGGGGCAGCCUGCCCUUGGCCCCCAACAAAAGUACACUGGGGAGCCCACAGGAUUCACAUAGAUACUCCGUGGCCACACUCCUUGGAAGUGCACAACAUGACAGCUCUGCACCUGGAGCAGUAUUUUGGGGGAUAAUCAGCAUUUUGGUUUUGGAUGUGUUAAGGUUGAGACAAUGAGUAGGCAGUUGACCAGAAUGGUUGAGUACUCAUUACGUAAGCCAAGUGCUGUGCUGGCCGCUGGAGGUGCCGUGAUGAACAAGAACCCUGACCUCAAGGAACUUUCAUGUGAGCUGGGGAGACACCUGUCAUUAAUCAAAGAAUAAAAACAACAAAAAAGUUAAAUUACAAUUGUGACAGUUACUAAGAAGAAGAUGCAGAAGGAAGAGUUUUCUCAGUAGAGAGAAUUGUGUGUGCAAAAGUUAUAGGAGCUGCGGAAAUGUGGCGAGGAGAGUGGUUGAAAAAAGGUGGAAGUGCGUAGGGAUCCUGAGAAGGACCAUGGGAGAAAUGAGGCAGAAAGGUCCAGGGGAGCAGGAUGGGUGAUACAGGAUCUCUCAAGCUAUGUUAGCU